Molecule: ribosomal RNA, 458 nt
Filed under: uncultured bacterium
Lineage: Bacteria
Description: bacterial SSU rRNA
Rfam family: Bacterial small subunit ribosomal RNA
Source: RNAcentral
AUUGAACGCUGGCGGCAGGCCUAGCACAUGCAAGUCGAACGGUAGCACAGAGAGCUUGCUCUCGGGUGACGAGUGGCGGACGGGUGAGUAAUGUCUGGGAAACUGCCUGAUGGAGGGGGAUAACUACUGGAAACGGUAGCUAAUACCGCAUAACGUCGCAAGACCAAAGAGGGGGACCUUCGGGCCUCUUGCCAUCAGAUGUGCCCAGAUGGGAUUAGCUAGUAGGUGGGGUAACGGCUCACCUAGGCGACGAUCCCUAGCUGGUCUGAGAGGAUGACCAGCCACACUGGAACUGAGACACGGUCCAGACUCCUACGGGAGGCAGCAGUGGGGAAUAUUGCACAAUGGGCGCAAGCCUGAUGCAGCCAUGCCGCGUGUAUGAAGAAGGCCUUCGGGUUGUAAAGUACUUUCAGCGGGGAGGAAGGUGUUGUGGUUAAUAACCACAGCAAUUGACGUAC